CCUACGGGUGGCAGCAGUGAGGAAUAUUGGUCAAUGGGCGAGAGCCUGAACCAGCCAAGUCGCGUGAAGGAUGACUGCCCUAUGGUUUGUAAACUUCUUUUAUAGAGGAGUAAAGUGAGGCACGUGUGCCUUUUUGUAUGUACCUUAUGAAUAAGCAUCGGGUAACUCCGUUCCAGCAGCCGCGGUAAUACGGGGGAUGAGAGCGUUAUCCGGAUUUAUUGGGUGUAAAGGGAGCGUAGGUGGGUAGUUAAGGCAGUUGUGAAAGUUUGGGGCUCAACCAUAAAAUUGCAAUUGAAACUGGUUGCCUUGAGUAUAGUUGAGGUAUGCGGAAUUCGUGGUGUAGCGGUGAAAUGCAUAGAUAUCACGAAGAACUCCGAUUGCGAAGGCAGCUUACUAAACUACAACUGACACUGAGGCACGAAAGCGUGGGUAUCAAACAGGAUUAGAUACCCUUGUAGUC
RNAcentral lists this ribosomal RNA (460 nucleotides) under uncultured bacterium. RNAcentral describes it as "partial 16S ribosomal RNA". It matches the Rfam family "Bacterial small subunit ribosomal RNA", at positions 338 to 795 of the family's 1533-position model. The record is from RNAcentral.